RNAcentral lists this ribosomal RNA (1013 nucleotides) under uncultured archaeon. RNAcentral's name for it is "bacterial SSU rRNA". It matches the Rfam family "Archaeal small subunit ribosomal RNA", at positions 1 to 1048 of the family's 1478-position model. The record is from RNAcentral.
UUCCGGUUGAUCCUGGCAGAGGUCACUGCUAUUGGGAUUCGACUAAGCCAUGCGAGUUGAGAGGGUUCGGCCCUCAGCAGACGGCUCAGUAACACGUGGAUAAUCUGCCCUUAGGUGGAGGAUAACCUCGGGAAACUGAGAAUAAUACUCCAUAUGUCUAGGAUGCUGGAAUGCACUUAGGCUUAAAGCUCCGGCGCCUAAGGAUGAGUCUGCGGACUAUCAGGCUGUAGUCAGGGUAAUGACCUGACUAGCCUACGACGGAUAUGGGUUGUGAGAGCAAUAACCCAGAGAUGAUAUCUGAGACACGAUAUCAGGCCCUACGGGGCGCAGCAGGCGCGAAAACUUCACACUGUGCGAAAGCACGAUGAGGGAAUCCCAAGUGCUUGCUCGCAAGAGUAAGCUGUUUCUUUGUUUAAAAUGCAUUGAGAGUAAGGGCUGGGUAAGACGGGUGCCAGCCGCCGCGGUAAUACCUGCAGCUCGAGUGGUGAUCGCUAUUAUUGGGCCUAAAACGUCCGUAGCCGGUUUGAUAAAUGCCUGGGUAAAUCGUGUAGCUUAACUAUACGAAUUCCGGGUAGACUGUUAAACUUGAGACCGGGAGAAGCUAGAGGUACUCCUGGGGUAGAGGUGAAAUUCUGUAAUCCUAGGGGGACCACCAGUGCGAAGCGUCUAGCUAGAACGGGUCUGACGGUGAGGGACGAAGCCCUGGGGCGCAACGGAUUAGAUUACCCGGGUAGUCAAGGGUGUAAACGCUGCUUGCUUGAUGUUAGUGGCUCCUGAGCCAUUAGUGUUCGAAAAAAAGUUGUUAAGCAGCUGCUGGGAGUUACGUCGCCAAGAACCUGAAACUUAAGAAUUGGCGGGGACACACGCACGGGUGGACGGUGCGUUUAUUUGGAAUCCACGCCGAAUCUCACGGGAGGCGACGGUUUAUUGAGAGCCAGCUGAUGACUGGCGAAUUCAAAUGUCCUAUGCCCGUCGAUUCUAACGGUAGCGCUCUGUUAUUCACACGACGAGGA